RNAcentral lists this ribosomal RNA (495 nucleotides) under uncultured bacterium. RNAcentral describes it as "partial 16S ribosomal RNA". It matches the Rfam family "Bacterial small subunit ribosomal RNA", at positions 28 to 507 of the family's 1533-position model. The record is from RNAcentral.
GACGAACGCUGGCGGCGUGCCUAAUACAUGCAGGUAGAACGCUGAAGGAGGAGCUUGCUUCUCUGGAUGAGUUGCGAACGGGUGAGUAACGCGUAGGUAACCUGCCUGGUAGCGGGGGAUAACUAUUGGAAACGAUAGCUAAUACCGCAUAAGAGUAGAUGUUGCAUGACAUUUACUUAAAAGGUGCAAUUGCAUCACUACCAGAUGGACCUGCGUUGUAUUAGCUAGUUGGUGAGGUAACGGCUCACCAAGGCAACGAUACAUAGCCGACCUGAGAGGGUGAUCGGCCACACUGGGACUGAGACACGGCCCAGACUCCUACGGGAGGCAGCAGUAGGGAAUCUUCGGCAAUGGACGGAAGUCUGACCGAGCAACGCCGCGUGAGUGAAGAAGGUUUUCGGAUCGUAAAGCUCUGUUGUAAGAGAAGAACGAGUGUGAGAGUGGAAAGUUCACACUGUGACGGUAUCUUACCAGAAAGGGACGGCUAACUACGUG